CAUUAUCGUACCACUGAGCCACGAGGGCUGUCGCUGACCGCAUUCAAAGGUCGUGCACGCCGGAGUGUGCUCACCAUCAUCCACUUUACCCUUGUGCAUCACCGCGUGGGGCACCCCCUUUCUAAAGGGGGGUCCACGUCCUUUACACAAACACACUAGAGUUUAGAAUGUCUUUGCGGUCACACGCAAUCAAUACAACUUUCAACAAUGGAUCUCUUGGCUCUCGCAUCGAUGAAGAACGCAGCGAAAUGCGAUACGUAAUGUGAAUUGCAGAAUUCAGUGAAUCAUCGAAUCUUUGAACGCAUCUUGCGCCCCUUGGCAUUCCGAGGGGCACACCCGUUUGAGUGUCGUGACAUCCUCAAACCUUCUUGGUUUCUUGAUUAAGAAGGCUUUGGACUUUGGAGGCAUUUUGCUGGGCUCCUUCGGGGCUUGGCUCCUCUCAAAUGUAUUAGUGGGGUCUCCUUUGUGGCUUCCCCUGACGUGAUAAGUGAUAAAGCGUCUUGGGAAUCGGCUCUGUAACCUGCUUCUAACUGUCUCGUAAGGAGACUAUGUUUGGGUUUGCCACCCUUCGUGGGUGGGAAGCUCGACCCAGAAACCUUGACCUC
RNAcentral lists this ribosomal RNA (605 nucleotides) under Russula pseudoaurantiophylla. Its description in RNAcentral is "eukaryotic LSU rRNA". The stretch from base 197 to 350 matches the Rfam family "5.8S ribosomal RNA". The record is from RNAcentral. Lineage: Eukaryota; Fungi; Basidiomycota; Agaricomycetes; Russulales; Russulaceae.